GACGAACGCUGGCGGCGUGCUUAACACAUGCAAGUCGAACGGAAAGGCCCUGCUUUUGUGGGGUGCUCUAGUGGCGAACGGGUGAGUAACACGUGAGUAACCUGCCCUUGACUUUGGGAUAACUUCAGGAAACUGGGGCUAAUACCGGAUAGGAUCUCCUGCUGCAUGGUGGGGGUUGGAAAGUUUCGGCGGUUGGGGAUGGACUCGCGGCUUAUCAGCCUGUUGGUGGGGUAGUGGCUUACCAAGGCUUUGACGGGUAGCCGGCCUGAGAGGGUGACCGGCCACAUUGGGACUGAGAUACGGCACAGACUCCUACGGGACGCAGCAGUGGGGAAUAUUGCACAAUGGGCGGAAGCCUGAUGCAGCAACGCCGCGUGCGGGAUGACGGCCUUCGGGUUGUAAACCGCUUUCGCCUGUGACGAAGCGUGAGUGACGGUAAUGGGUAAAGAAGCACCGGCUAACUACGUG
This 468-nucleotide ribosomal RNA is filed under the name uncultured bacterium. Its description in RNAcentral is "partial 16S ribosomal RNA". It matches the Rfam family "Bacterial small subunit ribosomal RNA", at positions 28 to 507 of the family's 1533-position model. The record is from RNAcentral.